AAGAAACUGCACGGAGGGGAUGAGGCAGCAAGAAUUCCUGCGCCCGAACGCAGCGCCCUCGCCCCAGCUGCAAAGCCCUGGCUACAGGAGGCGGAGAAAGCUUGGCACGUGGAAAUUGUGCAAGCUCCACAACUGGGCCAUCUCAGCAGAGUAACGGUGGAAGAGACAUCGUCUCCAACAGGCUUUGGAUUCUGGCUGCAUUUGCAAGCUGAGCGCGGAAAAACGCUGAGAGUCAGUGCUGAACCAGCUUUGCCUUUUGCUGGGCAGAGGAGAAAAGAGACAGGAGUGAUGCAGUGUAAAACCUGCAUUACUUUUCACACUCGGAGGCUCACUUUGGUUGGCCUUCCUCUGCCUACAAGGGAUCAGAGCGGCUUCCUGAGCGAACCCCUGCCACCGGCUGAGCCGAGCAAACAGAAGUGACUUGCAGCCAAGUCCCGUUGACACAACCUAGUUUCUGUGGGCA
RNAcentral lists this long non-coding RNA (463 nucleotides) under Struthio camelus australis. Its description in RNAcentral is "lncRNA (ENSSCUG00000016274.1)". Lineage: Eukaryota; Metazoa; Chordata; Aves; Struthioniformes; Struthionidae. The record is from RNAcentral.